CUACGGGACGCACCAGUGAGGAAUAUUGCACAAUGGGGGGAACCCUGAUGCAGCAACGCCGCGUGGAGGAUGACGCAUUUCGGUGUGUAAACUCCUUUUAUAUGUCAAGAAAAUGACGGUAGCAUAUGAAUAAGCACCGGCUAACUCCGUGCCAGCAGCCGCGGUAAUACGGAGGGUGCAAGCGUUACUCGGAAUCACUGGGCGUAAAGGACGCGUAGGCGGGUUGGAAAGUCAGGUGUGAAAUCCUACAGCUUAACUGUAGAACUGCACUUGAAACUUCUAAUCUAGAGUAUGGGAGGGGGAGAUGGAAUUGGUGGUGUAGGGGUAAAAUCCGUAGAUAUCACUAGGAAUACCUAAAGCGAAGGCGAUCUCCUGGAACAUUACUGACGCUAAGGCGUGGAAGCGUGGGGAGCAAACAGGAUUAGAUACCCGAGUAGUC
This 439-nucleotide ribosomal RNA is filed under the name uncultured bacterium. RNAcentral describes it as "partial 16S ribosomal RNA". It matches the Rfam family "Bacterial small subunit ribosomal RNA", at positions 339 to 795 of the family's 1533-position model. The record is from RNAcentral.